Pangasianodon gigas (Mekong giant catfish) is the source of this 72-nucleotide non-coding RNA. The record is from the annotation of a GenBank genome assembly. NCBI's taxonomy places the organism in Eukaryota, Metazoa, Chordata, Actinopteri, Siluriformes, Pangasiidae.
UCCCUGGAGGAGUAGCGGUUAGGCCACAGCACUCUCACUGCUGUGGUCCAGGUUCGAUUCCUGGCCAGGGCU